This 130-nucleotide ribosomal RNA is filed under the name Peromyscus maniculatus bairdii (prairie deer mouse). Lineage: Eukaryota; Metazoa; Chordata; Mammalia; Rodentia; Cricetidae. The record is from RNAcentral.
AUCUGUUUCCAUACCACCCUGAAUGAGCCCAAUCUUGUCUGAUCUCAAAAGCUAAGCAGGAUCGGGCCUGGUUAGUACUUGGAUGGGAGUAAAUUUUCAUGUGUUGCUGAAGAUUCCUGAGAAUCUGGUU